AGAGUUUGAUCCUGGCUCAGGAUGAACGCUAGCUACAGGCUUAACACAUGCAAGGUCGGGGGAAACGACAUCGAAAGCUUGCUUUUGAUGGGCGUCGACCGGCGCACGGGUGAGUAACGCAUAUCCAACCUGCCCACCACUUGGGGAUAACCUUGCGAAAGUAAGACUAAUACCCAAUGACGUCUCUAGAAGACAUCUGAAGGAGAUUAAAGAUUUAUCGGUGAUGGAUGGGGAUGCGUCUGAUUAGCUUGUUGGCGGGUAACGGCCCACCAAGGCGACGAUCAGUAGGGGUUCUGAGAGGAAGGUCCCCCACAUUGGAACUGAGACACGGUCCAAACUCCUACGGGAGGCA
RNAcentral lists this ribosomal RNA (352 nucleotides) under uncultured bacterium. RNAcentral describes it as "bacterial SSU rRNA". It matches the Rfam family "Bacterial small subunit ribosomal RNA", at positions 8 to 350 of the family's 1533-position model. The record is from RNAcentral.